This is a long non-coding RNA of Ctenopharyngodon idella (grass carp), 493 nucleotides long. RefSeq lists it as uncharacterized. The transcript has 3 exons. The record is from RefSeq and is a predicted model, not a curated record. Lineage: Eukaryota; Metazoa; Chordata; Actinopteri; Cypriniformes; Xenocyprididae.
GUUCCGCUUUCUCGAUGACAUCACUCACGUCGUUAAAGACGGCUAGCGAUGAUUGGUCGGGAAUCAACGUGAAGUCUGACAUGUUUCUUGUCCACGACAAGAAUUUAGGAGUUAAAAAUCGCAUAAUUUCACAGUGACUAUGGUAACAGACAAAAAUGUCGUGUAGUCUGAACAAGGAAUAAGUAACCAGUGAAGGGGUCUCCCUGGAAGGGCAGCACUGGUGGCUGGUUGUAGUUGGCCAUCAUGAAGAUGAAGAUGGUUCCUAACGUCAUAACUGGAGUGACCACAAAGAAGCAGAGUCGGUCCACUGUCCUGGCAAUCCCACUCCAGUUGUCCUUUUCCUGAAGUAGAAAUGGCUGGCUUCAUCUCGUUGUACAGCUGUUCCGACACCUCAGAGUCAUUACCGGAUGUGUAUGCUGUGAAGAAUUUACUCUUUAGUGGCAUUAAACUGAUAACACUGAAAAUAAGAUCAUAAUGUGAGUUUAAAGUGUCA